UGGACCCAUACUGACCACUGGUGGCGUAUGAGUUAUGAACAGGAAUACAAUGUGUCUGGAACUCUGACGUCCGA
This is a small nucleolar RNA of Pteropus vampyrus (large flying fox), 74 nucleotides long. Ensembl annotates it as small nucleolar RNA, C/D box 114-5. Its record names the gene SNORD114-5. The record is from Ensembl. NCBI's taxonomy places the organism in Eukaryota, Metazoa, Chordata, Mammalia, Chiroptera, Pteropodidae.